This 253-nucleotide ribosomal RNA is filed under the name uncultured bacterium. RNAcentral's name for it is "partial 16S ribosomal RNA". It matches the Rfam family "Bacterial small subunit ribosomal RNA", at positions 524 to 776 of the family's 1533-position model. The record is from RNAcentral.
UACGUAGGUGGCAAGCGUUGUCCGGAUUUACUGGGUGUAAAGGGCGCGUAGGCGGGCAUGUAAGUCAGACGUGAAAUACCGGGGCUCAACCCCGGGGCUGCGUUUGAAACUGCAAGUCUUGAGUGCCGGAGAGGAAAGCGGAAUUCCUAGUGUAGCGGUGAAAUGCGUAGAUAUUAGGAGGAACACCAGUGGCGAAGGCGGCUUUCUGGACGGUAACUGACGCUGAGGCGCGAAAGCGUGGGGAGCAAACAGG